This is a long non-coding RNA of Plectropomus leopardus (leopard coralgrouper), 305 nucleotides long. RefSeq lists it as uncharacterized. The record is from RefSeq and is a predicted model, not a curated record. Lineage: Eukaryota; Metazoa; Chordata; Actinopteri; Perciformes; Serranidae.
UGUUACAAGAAAACAAAGAUUAAUUUAAAAAGACACCUAUUUGAGUUUUCCAGCUAGCUGCCCUUCCUCGUCACCUGAGUUAACUGCGACUGUCACUUUAUCACUUUAUAAACGUUACAGUCUGUCUCCAUCUGCCGGCUGUCGGCUGCACCUCUUCGCCAGGCCCUCAUUCAUUCACCAAAGGGGGAAACGUGCCUGAAUAUAGACUGUGUGCCAGCUUUCUGCGUAACAGCUGAUCGAUGGAUCGCAGCGAGGUGACAGCGCAGCGCAGUGACAGAGGCAGACAGACAGCAGCUUUUCCUUUC